AUUGAACGCUGGCGGCAGGCCGAACACCUGCAAGUCGAACGAGUGGCGGACGGGUGAGUACUGUCUGGGAAACUGCCCGAUGGAGGGGGAUAACAACUGGAAACGGUAGCUAAUACCGCAUACCAUCGGAUGUGCCCAGAUGGGAUUAGCUAGUAGGUGGGGUAACGGCUCACCGAGGCGACGAUCCCUAGCUGGUCUGAGAGGAUGACCAGCCAAACGGGAACUGAGACACGGUCCAGACUCCCACGGGAGGCAGCAGUGGGGAAUAUUGCACAGUGGGCGCAAGCCGGAUGCAGCCAUGCCGCGUGUAUGAAGAAGGCCUGCGGGUUGUAAAGUACUUUCAGCGAGGAGGCGUGACUCGCAGAAGAAGCACCGGCUAACUCCGUGCCAGCAGCCGCGGUAAUUC
RNAcentral lists this ribosomal RNA (406 nucleotides) under uncultured bacterium. Its description in RNAcentral is "partial 16S ribosomal RNA". It matches the Rfam family "Bacterial small subunit ribosomal RNA", at positions 29 to 526 of the family's 1533-position model. The record is from RNAcentral.